AAGUCGUAACAAGGUUUCCGUAGGUGAACCGUGCGGAAGGAUCAUUAAUGAGAACUUGCCCGUUCGGGGUAGAUCUCCCACCCUCUGUUUGACAUUACCUUUGGUUGCUUUGACAGGCCCGCCCUCGGGGCCGCCGGCUUUCGGCUGGUCAGUGCCUGUCAGAGGACCCAAAAGCUCUUGUUUAAUUGUCGUCUGAGUACUAUAUAAUAGUUAAAA
RNAcentral lists this unclassified non-coding RNA (216 nucleotides) under plant metagenome. Its description in RNAcentral is "partial contains small subunit ribosomal RNA and internal transcribed spacer 1". The stretch from base 1 to 47 matches the Rfam family "Eukaryotic small subunit ribosomal RNA", at positions 1786 to 1831 of the family's 1831-position model. The record is from RNAcentral.